CCAACUAAUAUGGUCUGAAAAAAAAAGAUUAGAUUGGCCCAUUUUUGAUAGAUCCCAUCUCUCAGCCGAACACAUUGCUUUUAACAAUCGUAUUGACUUCUCCACUUCACCUUCAUCGUUCCAAAUCUCUGCAACUUUGCCGUUUCACUGUAAUAAUCACGAUCCACUCUUCUUAUUCAAUACCUCUUUACUUCUUUCUUCAUUAGAGAUGUUAACGUUUCACCUCCUUUGGUUUCUACUCUUAUAUAAACCCCUUCAUCGAAUCUGACGUCCAACCACAUUCUACAACAUCCGAAGAAUGACGUCACGCGAUUCGGUUCAAACCUCUGGAAAGUCUGAGAGAUAUACGAAUCUCAUGACUCAACUGUCCAGCGAGGAGGGAUAUCCAAGGAGGAAGUGAAAACGUAUUUGUGGGGAAAUUUAAGAGAGAAGUAAGUAAUUUCGUGUAAACUUUCUCCUCCUUCUUAUUUGUCUUUCAUAUGAACCUAUUUCUCCGGUUACCUGUUUAUCAAAUGCUUGAGGAUCCUGGACAGACAAGAAGUUACUAUUGCACAGGUUAUCUGCAACAAGUGGAACUGUAUCACCAUUGUUAAUUAAAGGAGUUGAAAUUUUGGGGAUAAAACUCAGUGACUGCUCGAGUGUGAUUCAUUUCACGAUUACAUGCUUUUCAACACAUUCGUUGUGUUUAUUUUUCUCCACCAGUUAGGGGACUGCACGAGUGUGAUUCAUUUGUGUCAGUUUCUGGUGCAUAAACUGUUGAUCCUAUUCCGCUCUCCGGACGCAUUGCAAAUUUAGGGAUGUCCGAGUUGGGAAGCAGCAUGCGUUAGCUUUCAAGGCACAAAAAGAUGUGAAUGUCAUCUCAUGGAACAGGUUCUUUUGCCAAGAAUGGGAUGCUCUGGUAUCACAUUUUGAGAAGCAUAAGCAUCCUACCACGUCGAUUGAGUAAGGCACUCAUGAAUCCUCGACUCUUGCAGCCUCUUCUGGCGAUAACCAGCUCACAUAUGGGAUUUAUCCUUAGAAAAGGAUGAAGAAGAGGAAGCAGAGUUCAAAGCAUAUACACCAAGGAACAACUGAACAAGUUAAAACGCCUCGUGACUUGCCUUCUUAGCUUCUUUUCUUUUACCAGAAAAUCAGCGUCAAGGACUUGAAAGGACUUCACUGGCACAACCAGAUUCCAGGGAUGAUCAUCUCAGCUGCUUCUGAAUUCUGAUAGUUUCAACAGUUUCGAUGCCUUACAACAUGUAGAACACCCUUCCUGAUCUCGGUUCCUAAGAAGAUUGAGUCUCUGAAAAAAUUUCAAGUAUUGUAGUCUCUGAAAAAAUUUCAACAUGUUGAGUUUUGUAUUGUCAUCUCUCUUUUCUACUGAAAUAUAUUUUCAUUGAUAGCAAGUUUAAUGAAUUGUACUCUUUCACAACUUAACGUUUCACAAAUAAGUUUUGAAAAUCAUUCUCA
Brassica napus (rape) is the source of this 1452-nucleotide long non-coding RNA. RefSeq lists it as uncharacterized. The record is from RefSeq and is a predicted model, not a curated record. Lineage: Eukaryota; Viridiplantae; Streptophyta; Magnoliopsida; Brassicales; Brassicaceae. The transcript has 7 exons.